Molecule: ribosomal RNA, 481 nt
Filed under: Yarrowia lipolytica
Lineage: Eukaryota; Fungi; Ascomycota; Dipodascomycetes; Dipodascales
Description: LSU rRNA
Rfam family: Eukaryotic large subunit ribosomal RNA
Source: RNAcentral
UGAAGCGGCAAAAGCUCAAAUUUGAAACCCUCGGGAUUGUAAUUUGAAGAUUUGGCAUUGGAGAAAGCUAACCCAAGUUGCUUGGAAUAGUACGUCAUAGAGGGUGACAACCCCGUCUGGCUAACCGUUCUCCAUGUAUUGCCUUAUCAAAGAGUCGAGUUGUUUGGGAAUGCAGCUCAAAGUGGGUGGUAAACUCCAUCUAAAGCUAAAUACUGGUGAGAGACCGAUAGCGAACAAGUACUGUGAAGGAAAGGUGAAAAGAACUUUGAAAAGAGAGUGAAAUAGUAUGUGAAAUUGUUGAUAGGGAAGGAAAUGAGUGGAGAGUGGCCGAGGUUUCAGCCGCCCCUCGUGGGCGGUGUACUGCCGACGCCGAGUCAUCGAUAGCGAGACGAGGGUUACAAAUGGGAGCGCCUUUCGGGCGUUCUCCCCUAACCCUCCACACUGCCACCGACGACAUAAUCCACCCAUUUCACCCGUCUUG